GUCCAGACUCCUACGGGAGGCAGCAGUGGGGGAUAUUGCACAAUGGGGGAAACCCUGAUGCAGCGACGCCGCGUGAGCGAUGAAGUAUUUCGGUAUGUAAAGCUCUAUCAGCAGGGAAGAAGAUGACGGUACCUGACUAAGAAGCCCCGGCUAACUACGUGCCAGCAGCCGCGGUAAUACGUAGGGGGCAAGCGUUAUCCGGAUUUACUGGGUGUAAAGGGAGCGUAGACGGCGAUGCAAGCCAGAUGUGAAAGCCCGGGGCUCAACCCCGGGACUGCAUUUGGAACUGUGUGGCUGGAGUGUCGGAGAGGCAGGCGGAAUUCCUAGUGUAGCGGUGAAAUGCGUAGAUAUUAGGAGGAACACCAGUGGCGAAGGCGGCCUGCUGGACGAUGACUGACGUUGAGGCUCGAAAGCGUGGGGAGCAAACAGGAUUAGAUACCCUCGUAC
Molecule: ribosomal RNA, 447 nt
Filed under: uncultured bacterium
Lineage: Bacteria
Description: bacterial SSU rRNA
Rfam family: Bacterial small subunit ribosomal RNA
Source: RNAcentral